RNAcentral lists this unclassified non-coding RNA (240 nucleotides) under soil metagenome. Its description in RNAcentral is "partial contains 5.8S ribosomal RNA, internal transcribed spacer 2, and large subunit ribosomal RNA". The record is from RNAcentral.
AACCAUAGAAACCUGCGGAGUACCUGCGGAAGGAUCAUUACAGAGUUGCAAGACUCCCUAAACCAUUGUGAACGUUACCUAAACCGUUGCUUCGGCGGGCGGCCCGGGUCCUUCCCGGCGCCCCUCGGCCCUCGCGGGCGCCCGCCGGAGGUAAACCAAACUAUUGCAUUGUAUGGCCUCUCUGAGUCUUCUGUACUGAAUAAGUCAAAACUUUUAACAAUGGAUCUCAGAUCGGAAGAG